UGUUCAAAUGAGGAAAGGCUUACGGUGGAUACCUAAGGACCUAGAGACGAGGAAGGGCGUAGUAAUCGACGAAAUGCUUCGGGGAGUUGAAAAUAAGCAUAGAUUUGGAGAUUCCCGAAUAGAGAAACCUUUCAAACUACUGUUGAAGCCAUGCAUAGGUAAGAGACAACGUGGCUAACUGAAACAUCUUAGUACCUAGAGGAAAAGAAAGCAAAAGCGAUUCCAGUUGUAGUGGCGAGCAAAACGGGAGCAGCCUAAAUCAUGAAAAUGAAGUUGUGAGAGAGCAAUACAAGUGUCAUGCUGCUAGGCGAAGCAGCAGAAAUGCUACAUCCUAGAUGGCAAAAGUCUAGUAGCCAAAAGCAUCACUAGCUUACGCUCUGACCCGAGUUACAUGGGAGACGUGGAAUCUCGUGUGAAUUAGCAAGGACCACAUUACAAGGCUAAAUACUCUUGGGUGACCGAUAGCAAAGUAGUACCAUGAGGGAAGGGUGAAAAGCUCCCAAGCAAUGGGAGGAGCCAAGUCUCUGAUCGUGUGCCUGUUGAAGAAUGAGUCGACGACUCAUAGGUAGUAGCUUGGUUAAGGGAACCCAUUGGAGCCAUAGCAAAAGUAAGUCUUCAUAGGGAAAUUGUCACUACUUAUGGACCCAAACCUAGGUGAUCUAUUCAUAACCAAGAUGAAGCUCGAGUGAAACUAAAUGGAGUUCCAAACCAACUGAUGUUGAAGAAUCAGCAUAUGAGUUGUGGUUAGGGCUAAAAUACCACUCAAACCCAGAGCUAGCCAUUUCUCCCCGAAAUGCAUUGAGACGCAACAGUUGACUCAACAUCUUGGGAUAAAGCACUGUUUCGAUGCAGACUAUGAGACCGGUACCAAAUUGAGGCAAACUUUGAAUACUAGAUAUGACCUCAAAAUAACUGGGGUUAAGGUCAGCCAGUGAGACGAUGGGGGAUAAGCUUCAUCAUCGAGAGGGAAACAGACUAGAUAACCAGCUAAGGUUCCUAAAUGAUCGCUCAGUGAUAAAAGAGAUAGGGGUGUAGAGAUAGCUAGGAGGUUUGCCUAAAAGCAGCCACACUUGAAAAAGUGUGUAAUAGCUCACUGAUCUAGCACUCUUACGUCGAAGAUGAAUGGGACUAAGCGAUUUGUUGAAGCUUUGGGAUGUAAAUAUACAUCGGUAGGGGAGUGUUCCACCUUAGAAGGAAGCCCCCACGUGAGUUAGGGCCUAAGAUCAGGAUGAAAGGCAUAGUCGAUGGACAACAAGUGAAUAUUCCUAUACUAUCCCUUGUUGGUCCCGAUGGAUGGAAGAUGCUAGGUUAGCUAAAAGCUGGUUAUCGAUUCGAGAACGUAAGGUGCCCCUGUUAUUUCAGGGUAAGAAGGGGUGGAGAAAAUGCCUCGAGCCAAUGUUUGAGCACCAGGGGCUACAGUGCUGAAGUAACCCAUGCCAUACUACUAGGAAAAGCUCGAACGACCUUUAAACAAAAGGGUACCUAUACCCGAAAUCGACACAGGUGGGUAGGAAGAGAAUACCUAGGGGUGCGAGAUAACUCUCUUUAAGGAACUUGCCAAAAUAUCCUUGUAACUUCUAGAGAAGGGGUGCCUCCUUACAAAGGGGUUUGCAGUGACCAGGCCCGGGUGACUGUUUACGAAAAACACAUGUCUUCGCAAAGUCAUAAGACCAUGUAUGGGGCUGGCGCCUGCCCACUGCCGAAAGGUCAAAGAAGUUGGUGACCUGAUAAUAGAGGAGUCGACGACCAAAGCCCUGGUGAAUUGCGACUGUAACUAUAACAGUCCUAAGGUAGCAAAAUUCCUUAUCGGGUAAGUUUCGACUCGCACGAAAGGCGUAACGAUCUGAGUACUACCUCGAAAAGAGGCUUAGUGAAACAGNNNNNNNNNNNNNNNNNNNNNNNNNNNNNNNN
Molecule: ribosomal RNA, 1911 nt
Filed under: Olea europaea subsp. europaea
Lineage: Eukaryota; Viridiplantae; Streptophyta; Magnoliopsida; Lamiales; Oleaceae
Description: LSU_rRNA_archaea
Rfam family: Bacterial large subunit ribosomal RNA
Source: RNAcentral